AUGUUCCCUAGAGUUCCUCCAUAACACUUCAUCAUCAGUAGUGGACAUCCUUAUUGCAAAUAGAAUCAACUCCUUACAUGUUGAAGUGUUUGGGGGAACUCCUGGGCUCAU
RNAcentral lists this microRNA precursor (111 nucleotides) under Ipomoea nil (Japanese morning glory). RNAcentral describes it as "mir-395 microRNA precursor family". It matches the Rfam family "mir-395 microRNA precursor family". Rfam says of the family: mir-395 was identified in both Arabidopsis thaliana and Oryza sativa computationally and was later experimentally verified. mir-395 is thought to target mRNAs coding for ATP sulphurylases. The mature sequence is excised from the 3' arm of the hairpin. The record is from Rfam by way of RNAcentral. Lineage: Eukaryota; Viridiplantae; Streptophyta; Magnoliopsida; Solanales; Convolvulaceae.